AUGGCAGAAAUUCCUAAUACCUUCUCACAUUUUAUUCCUUUAGCUCUUAUUCCAUUCAGGAGUGGAAAAUAUGCAAGUGACCCUUGCAUGCCAAGCAGCUCAGAAAAAUGCCUUGAUGGUGGCAGUCCAACAGGCAUCCUUCUAUCACACGCCCUGGUGGGGCUGUCCUGCCAAUGUGAAGGAAAUAAGUUCAGAUCUGAGAAAUCAUGGUGGAAUGGGUCCAGCCAGAAGAAGAAAUUCCAGAAUUGUGAAUGGCAUAGAGAACUUACUGUUAGCCCCAACUCCAAAAGUUCCAGACACUCUCACUCAUCCUUCAGAAAGAUUCCAGGCUACCAAAAGGGCUCCGGAGGCUUUUGUGUCUAUUCAACUAGAAAAGGUGGGGCUGCGGGACAUGAUGCUGAACGCCUUCCUCCUCAGGAAACAAACCAUGGCCGACAGAAUGAAGAGCCUUGUGAGUUUAGUGGGAAGGGCUCCCUAAAGCUCUCAUUAUCUUUUACAUUUGAGCAAAUAAAAAUUCUUAACUUGUAAUCUGUUGCUUUCAGCCUAUUUGGAUAGGACUAUUGAAAAUAUAAAGAACUGUGAAAGGGAAUUCAAUAAGAAAUAGAAAGGAAGUAAUUCAAGCUAAUUGCAGUCUAGUUUUAAAAAUAUGCACAUUUUUUCCAAGACCACAUUUUAUUUUGUCGCUUUCUAAACGGAACUAGUUUCAGCACCUGCUCUGGAACAUAAGCCCACUCUUGAGUGACCCACAGAUGUUCAGGGUGUUUAGACAAGGUGAGCAAAGACUCUUACUAUUGAAUUCAUAUGUUAUCUGAUUUUCCAGAUAUUAAU
RNAcentral lists this long non-coding RNA (828 nucleotides) under Ailuropoda melanoleuca (giant panda). RNAcentral describes it as "lncRNA (ENSAMEG00000026784.1)". The record is from RNAcentral. Lineage: Eukaryota; Metazoa; Chordata; Mammalia; Carnivora; Ursidae.